UGUUUUUUGCCUGUUUUUAAUUUGAAAAUUAUGUGAAUUUUACUGCCUUUCUAGUGUAGAAAGGCUGUUAUAAACAUUAUUUAGACUAAGCCUCGGGUUACACGACCCCAAUUUUUAUGAACAUUUCUUACAGAAAUUUCUGCAACUUUUUCCAUCCACCUGAAAACAUUACAGAAAUAAAGGAAAACUUUAGUAUAAGAUGUUACCUUAGCUUCCACAGUGCUUUCCGCUUGGAAGCUUUUCUGAAUUUUUCUCUGUCAAAAACUGUUACAGUUCAUAAAUCGGGGGUCUUGUUAGUCACUUUGCCUAUAGUACACCUGGCUUGUUGAUAAUUAUGUUAUUUUUAAAGUCAAAAAAUUAACUUUCUGAAUCAUGAUCAGAAGCCACAAAUGUCAGUGUAUGUAAAUCAGGCAUAGCAGAAAGUGUAGAAUGGGUAAAACUAUCAAAGUACAUUUGUAUUUUAUUGGUAAGAAAAAAACCUUUUUAAUGGAGUGAUGUACUGUGAAUUGGAAAUGUUUUUUGCAAGUAUAAUUAUACAAUUUACAUGAAAGGGACAUAACUCUGCAUUGUGCUGAUAUUUUUAUAAUGAAAAAAUCAUCAAGAAUAAUUUACACUGAUGGCCAUUUAUGCAUAAAUGGAAAAUAUAUAUUGUACUUUCAAGUUAUUUCACUUAACCAUGUCAGUGCAAGUUGUAGUAUUUUUGUUUUGUUGAUUUCGUUGGUUGAAUUUGACAUUUUAUCAAUAAUACUAUCACGAAACUUUGGCUGUAAAUGUUGAAAAGAACACUACAUGUUUGGAAAAGUCGUCCAUGUAUCGUCUAAAUGAAUGUCUGGAGUGGUCGUUGGACUGUAAGUGUCUAUAUAUUUGAGUGUGCUUUCAUUGACUAGAUUUGUUGGAGGCGCUGUACCUCUGCCUUCAAUAGAAUUUGUUGUAUAUAAUGUCAUGUAAGUGUGUCUAGGUAUUCAGAUGAUGAGAGGGAGAUAUGUUAAUCAUCCAUUGUUUUAUUUUGAAUGCUUACUGCAUUUUAUUAGUACAUACUGACUAUGUACAGAAGUUAAGAUUGUGAUUUUGGAUUCACCAGUUUUAUAAGAUAUUUGAUUUAUAUUUCUGCAUAGUAGCUUCAUUUAGUUUUCAGAUCAUUCAGACUACUGUGGGCCCAAUCUCCUAUUGAUAAAAACUAAAUGAUAGGACAUUUUUGAAACUUCAAAGCAAUUUGGUAGUGAUCAUGAGGAGAAUGAGUUUUUAAAAAAUUAUUUGAGUUUCUUUGAUGUACUGGUAUAUUAUAUCAGGGUAUGGAGAUUGUUUGUCAGUGUGUCACAAAUAUGUUACCAGCAUAUAGUGCUACACGUGAUUGUGGGUUACUGGGGUAGGUCUUACAACAUCUGAAUGUUGUCGGGUCAUACAACAUCUUAAAUGUUGUCGGGUAAUACAACAUCUAAAUGUUGUCGGGUCUCACAACAUCUUAAAUGUAGUACGGUCAUACAACAUCUACAUGUUGUCGGGUCAUACAACAUCUACAUGUUGUCGGGUCAUACAACAUCUACAUGUUGUCGGGUCAUACAACAUCUACAUGUUGUCGGGUCAUACAACAUCUACAUGUUGUCGGGUCAUACAACAUCUACAUGUUGUCAGUUCAUACAACAUCUACAUGUUGUCGGGUCAUACAACAUCUUAAAUUUUGUCAGGUAAUACAACAUCUAAAUGUUUUCGGGUCUUACAACAUCUAAAUGUUGUCAGGUAAUACAACAUCUUAAAUGUUGUCAGGUAAUACAACAUCUUAAAUGUUGUCAGGUAAUACAACAUCUAAAUGUUGUCGGGUCUCACAACAUCUAAAUGUAGUACGGUCAUACAACAUCUGAAUGUUGUAAGGUCAUACAGCAUCUAAAUGUUGUCGGGUCUUACAACAUCUUAAAUGUUGUCAGUUCAUACAACAUCUACAUGUUGUCAGGUCAUACAACAUCUAAAUGUUGUAAGGUCAUACAACAUCUACAUGUUGUCAGGUCAUACAACAUCUAAAUGUUGUAAGGUCAUACAACAUCUACAUGUUGUCAGGUCAUACAACAUCUACAUGUUGUCUGGUCAUACAACAUCUUAAUGUUGUCUGGUCAUACAACAUCUACAUGUUGUCAGGUCAUACAACAUCUAAAUGUUGUCAGGUAUUACAACAUCUUAAAUGUUGUCAGGUAAUACAACAUCUUAAAUGUUGUCAGGUAAUACAACAUCUACAUGUUGUCGGGUCAUACAACAUCUACAUGUUGUCAGGUCAUACAACAUCUUAAAUGUUGUCAGGUAAUACAACAUCUUAAAUGUUGUCAGGUAAUACAACAUCUAAAUGUUGUCGGGUCUUACAACAUCUACAUGUUGUCAGGUCAUACAACAUCUUAAAUGUUGUCAGGUCAUACAACAUCUUAAAUGUUGUCGGGUCUUACAACAUCUAAAUGUUGUCAGGUAAUACAACAUCUAAAUGUUGUCGGGUCUCACAACAUCUAAAUGUAGUACGGUCAUACAACAUCUGAAUGUUGUAAGGUCAUACAGCAUCUAAAUGUUGUCGGGUCAUACAACAUCUACAUGUUGUCGGGUAAUACAACAUCUUAAUGUUGUCAGGUUAUACAACAUCUAAAUGUUGUAAGGUCAUACAACAUCUACAUGUUGUCGGGUCAUACAACAUCUUAAAUGUUGUCAGGUAAUACAACAUCUUAAAUGUUGUCAGGUAAUACAACAUCUAAAUGUUGUCGGGUCUCACAACAUCUAAAUGUAGUACGGUCAUACAACAUCUGAAUGUUGUCAGGUCAUACAACAUCUAAAUGUUGGCAGUUCAUACAACAUCUAAAUGUUGUAAAGUCAUGAUAUCAUACAACAUCUUGAUGUGUCUUACCCAUGGUACAAUUUAUGACAGUUUGAUAGAGAUACUUUUAGAUAUUAUUUUAAAUCAUUUUAUAGUCAUUAUUGCAAAAUGAUUUGCUUAAAUAAGUACUCUGACUCUUAAAUGAAGAAAUUUUGCUAUAGAUUAUGAAUACCGGUAUGUCGUAUUCACUAGUGAAUAUAGUUGGUCUGAGAAUAUAUACAUGUACAGUGAAAUAUAUUUACUAUUUGUUUGAGUAGAUAUCUAGUAGUAUUAACAUGUUUUAAAGUGAUUUUUGGUUAAUUUGAUUUAGAUUUAAAACUAUAUUGCCUUUGAAUAAUUGAUAAUGUUAGAUUCUAUGUUGAUAAUAAUUAAGAUUUUAUUUUUGAAAUUUUGUGAUGUAUGGCUGAUUGUUUCACCUUUGUACCUGUAAUAAUGUGAUAAUGACCGUUAGGAUACAAUUUCCUGAUGUACAUCAAGAUUUUAAAACAUAGCGAACCUCUUUGUGGUAUUUAGAAGUCUGAGUUUCCUCUGACUCUUGCUCCCUUUCAGACAUUCAAUCUGAUGACUUGAUAACUGAGAGUCAUGCUAUCUAUGCAAUGUCACUUCUUUAAGAAGGAUCUAUAAACAUUUCAGUUAUAGUUUAAAUCAUUGAAUAGCUGAGGAUAAGUGGCUUUAGUGACCCUGCAGGACUUACGAUAUCUGGCUAUUAUCUUUGAAUAAGCCUAGGGGGUUUACACUUUGAAUCUUCAGUUGUUCACAUUUGCAGUGAAUUACAAUAGGCUUAUUACCAGGCAGGGUCUGAUGUCCAAUAGAUGUGGUAGAAAAAACUGGCUGCAAUCGUAGAAGUCGGCAUGGAUUUGUCCCAGUUCAAACAUCCGAUUCUGUGUUUGAAAAUAAUUACAUGUAGUUAGAAAGGUAUUGAACCUUUUGUGUGUUAUCCAUGCAUCUCUAGUCAUAAACCUGGGUAAUUCAUAGUCUUCUAUUGGUUAACCAUCGUUGUCAUGGUAACACAAGGUCAUCCUUAGUCUUCUAUUGGUUAAUCAUCGUUGUCAUGGUAACACAAGGUCAUCCGUAGUCUUCUAUUGGUUAACCAUCGUUGUCAUGGUAACACAAGGUCAUCCUUAGUCUUCUAUUGGUUAAUCAUCGUUGUCAUGGUAACACAAGGUCAUCCUUAGUCUUCUAUUGGUUAAUCAUCGUUGUCAUGGUAACACAAGGUCAUCCUUAGUCUUCUAUUGGUUAACCAUCGUUGUCAUGGUAAUACAAGGUCAUCCUUAGUCCUCUAUGGGUUAACCAUCAUUGUCAUGGUAAUACAAGGUCAUCCUUAGUCCUCUAUUGGUUAACCAUCGUUGUCAUGGUAACACAAGGUCAUCCUUAGUCCUCUGGGUUAACCAUCGUUGUCAUGGUAACACAAGGUCAUCCUUAGUCCUCUAUGGGUUAACCAUCAUAGUCAUGGUAACACAAGGUCAUCCUUAGUCCUGUAUGGGUUAGCCAUCGUUGUCAUGGUAAUACAAGGUCAUCCUUAGUCCUCUAUGGGUUUACCAUCGUUGUCAUGGUAAUACAAGGUCAUCCUUAGUCCUCUAUGGGUUAACCAUCGUUGUCAUGGUAACACAAGGUCAUCUCCUCUAUUGGUUAACCAUCUGUAGUCGUGGUAACACAGUUUGUCCUUUGUCCUGUAUAUAUGGGUAAACCAUCUAGAUCUGUUGUCAUGGUAACACAAGGUCAUCCUUUGUCUUCUAUGGGUUAACCAUCUGUAGUCAUGGUAACACAAGGUCAUCCUUACUAAUCUGUGGGUUAACCAUCUGUAGUCAUGGUAACACAAGGUCAUCCUUAGUCUUCAAUAGGUUAACUAUCUGUAGUCAUGGUAACAAGGUUAUCCUUAAUCCUUCAUUGACUACAGGUGAAUACAUGGUAAUUAUGGAUGCCACUCUUGUGGUUGCGUAACGACUUGAGAUAGGUCUUUGCCUUCUUGGUUGAUUUUCAAUUGUACAUUACUAAACAAAUAUUUGUCAUAAAAUCAAUUAAGAAAAUGUGAAUGUUUUCAUUAGAAUGAUGGACAUAUUUAUUUCAAAAAAUCUUUCACACAAAAAAGGUGUUUGGGUACAGUAGGAUUACAGGUGAAACAAUAGCCCAGAGAAAGAAUUACAUUGUUGUUUGUAAACAGUAUGAAAGGAAGUAUUUUGAGUGAAUCAUGGGAUAUACCUCCAAAAUUAUCUCGACUAUAUUUACACCAAAUUUCUUAUUGAUUUCCGAUAACUUUUAUUGGUUGUUAGAAAUUUUAUUUCUAGAAAAUAUAUCUUCAAACUUUAUUUUUUGAUGUAAUUUUUGUUAUGUUCAUUGAAAGACAAAACACCAAUACUGAGUAGAACUCUCGAAAUACCUAUGAUAUAAGUAUCCCUGUAAACAGGAUAUCAUUGUAAGAAAUGUCCCUGAUAACAGUUUAAUUUAAUUUAAUUUGACCUGAAAGUGGUUAAAGCAUACAUGAUAUUUAUGUACGUCGUGUAGUGAUUUUCAUCGGGGAUUCCUGGAACUGUCCGUUAUGGACAGGUGUCCGCUAUAUAAGGGUGUCUGCUAGUACAGGUUUGACUGUACUUCUUUAUUACCGUGUGUGACAUUUUUUGUAAGAAAACAUGAAAUUCAAAUGCACUAAGGUCGGGAUAAACAAAAUUUAAUUUUAGAUUUAUAUGAACAAUAUUAUUGACAUCAACAUUUUAAAAGAGACAUAUUGAUGAUAUUCCUGUAAAAUAAAAACAGAUAUAUGGAAUGAUAUAUAUGUAAUAUUCAAAACUAAGGUUAUCCUGACCCAAAGUGCCUGUAUUUUCCCCUCCAGAAUUGAUCAUUUUCAUUGACUUUUAAAAUUUUCUGUGAAACUUUACCAACAAUAAAAACUUUCAGAUUUUAAAUGGAGAUGUCUUUUUCUAUCAGUUACUUAACAGUCGUUAGUUAUCGAGUCUACAGAGAAAAUUACACCAGCUGUUAUGAUUGGCAGUGUAAGCAUGAUUUGUUUAGUCAUUAUAUAUAUCAAUAUUUGCAUCUGUAUAUGCGGUGAAGUUUAUAUCUAGUUUAGAUGUGGUGUGACUUGUGUUUCAAUGUGAAAUUGUAUUCAUAUACAUGUAUACUACUAGUAGCUUGUAUGAAAUAAAAAAAAUCUAACAUUUUCUAA
Long non-coding RNA from Pecten maximus, 6005 nucleotides. RefSeq lists it as uncharacterized. The transcript has 2 exons. The record is from RefSeq and is a predicted model, not a curated record. NCBI's taxonomy places the organism in Eukaryota, Metazoa, Mollusca, Bivalvia, Pectinida, Pectinidae.